Molecule: long non-coding RNA, 2228 nt
Organism: Equus caballus (horse)
Lineage: Eukaryota; Metazoa; Chordata; Mammalia; Perissodactyla; Equidae
Source: Ensembl
AUGAAGAAACAGGCAAGUCAUGUGGCUGGCAAGUGGUAAAGCUACAUUUAGCACCCACACAUUCUGGUUCUGGAGUCCACAAGCUUAACCACCACUUGAAAUUGCUGCUACUAAAAAAGAAUUCUCCAGAAAAAUAUGAGAUGCCCCCAAACAAAAGAAGAAAAAGAAGGAGGAAAAAAGGAUAGAGUCAACCAGAUGACUCAAACUUGUUCUGGCUCUUGUUUACCAAGGAUGCGUUUCCAUUCCAUUGGAAGGAAGAAGAGCACCUUGAGAUGUCAGCCACCAUGAUGCUGUGUUUCUGUUUCCCUUUGACCUGUUAUAAAGCUGUAGAACUACAGACAUAAGCUCUUGUGUCUCUCUUCCUUUGGAUUAUAUUGCUGAACAUGUUCAUUUUUUGCCCUUUCCUGGAGGUAUAAAAAUGGCACGUGUAUCUCCACGUACUCGUUUGACGUGUGCUCGUGAAAUCUGCUUGUGUGCCCACAUGAUGGUGUAUGAAGCAGCUCUCGGUGACUGACCUCUCAAUUUUCUCUGUGAAAGAUGAGUUAGAUAUUUUGGGUAAAGAUGAGUGUUGAAGCUGUCCUGGGAACAGUGGUUUGAGAAAAAUACUAAAUGUGUAUGCAAUGUAAUGGGAUGUACUUUUAUUUAUCAAUGGGAAAAGAAAGCUGCUAUGUCUUAAAGCAAAGAUUCUGUCCAGAAAGUUAAAGAAGAUAGUGAAAGAAAAAGCUUCCAUGGGCAGAGAAAGUUUACAAGGCUUUCAGAAAGUAAGCUUUAUUUGUCUUAGUUUAUAAUAAUGGCAAAUAAUGAGUGUGGAGAGAAGCAAUGAAACCAUUAAAAUGUUGGCAAAGUAGGAUCAGCUUUUACAAGUUUAUUUAUAAGAUUUAAAUAACUCAUGAAUUCUUUACUGCUAAAAUAUUACAUUAACAGAGCUCUAGAAUGUGGUUUUCUCUGUUAAAAUGACAGAUUGGUAUAGGAGUGUUCAGUCUGCUCUUUAGAAGAGGUAGUAAAAGUUAUUUGUUACCUUUUGUGUAACCUGCCCAGACGGCUGAGAUUGAUUCUUUCUUACCAGAUAAACUUUCUGUGCUUAUCCUACUUUGUUGCAUGCUUGAUAACUAAAACAGACAGAACCCAAAGGUUCUUUGCUUCCAAAAGAGCUAAGAUUCCUUCCAAUUGUCCUAACUUCGGCAUAUGUUCAUUUAAAAAUAUUGUGCUGUCAUUUCGAUUAGCAAGAAACCAAGCCACAACCAUUCAUUGCUCUCAGGCUACCAUGCUUCCACCUUAAUCAAGUGACCAGCCUCCUCUGUUAAUGCUUUGAUUUUGUCUUCUCAAGGUCAGACACAAAAUUCAGAAAAAUAAAAUGUAAAUGAAUAAAUAAAUUCAAGAUUUUUUUUUAACUAAUCUAUUUUUUUCAUCUUACACAAGAAACUGCUAGAAAUAGGUUUUUUUUUUUUUCUGUCCGGUAUGCUUCAUAUUUCAUACAGCUCAAUACUGUUGUAAAAGCUGCAAGGGAAGAGAAAUUGUGAAAUCAGAGAAGUUUCACCUUUAUUGGUUGAAUUGAAUUCAGGCAAAAAUUUUAUUAAUCUAAAUAUAUUCAGAGAUUGUAUACUUUACAGGAAAGCUCUCACAUGUCCAUAAUGUUACUACUAUAAAGGGAAACUGAUCAAAUUCAUAGGUAACAUUUGUGUAUUAUAUCCAGGGGAUUUUAUUCCCCUCCGUUCUGAUAUUUCUGGUUACUGAUAGAAUUAACCACAGCCAUUCAGCCCUAUCAUCAACAGGCAAUUCUGAUUUCCUCUCCUGCUUGUCUGAAAGUUUUGACAUGAGGUGGAGGCCACACGUCGAUUAUUCUACAAAGUAGAACAGUUUUCAAACCUUAGGAAAAGGAUUGUACCAGGAGCUCUAUUGAUAUCUCAAGGAAUGGACUCAUGGCUACUGGCUUUGGAUUUAAGGUGGCACCACUUACACAAGCGUCAGAAUGUAUUAAGUGGAUGAGUCAAGAUUUCCAGGACUUGUUUUAGUUUAGCAGUAGAUAAAUUUGUGAAAGCAGACUGCUGAGCCAAUACCCAGAGACUCGAGAAUUUGUUACAUGGUACUGAAGCAAGUAUAUUUGUUAGAAUGUUGUUGGUAUUACUGAGCCCUCAGAAUUUAAGAAGUAUUUUUACUAAAUGUGUAUAUUCUUCAUGGCAAUGUAGUUGUAUCAGAAUAGAAUCAAACAUAUCAAUUGUGCAACCAAG